RNAcentral lists this ribosomal RNA (492 nucleotides) under uncultured bacterium. Its description in RNAcentral is "partial 16S ribosomal RNA". It matches the Rfam family "Bacterial small subunit ribosomal RNA", at positions 29 to 507 of the family's 1533-position model. The record is from RNAcentral.
AGUGAACGCUGGCGGUAGGCCUAACACAUGCAAGUCGAACGGCAGCACAGUAAGAGCUUGCUCUUACGGGUGGCGAGUGGCGGACGGGUGAGGAAUACAUCGGAAUCUACUUUUUCGUGGGGGAUAACGUAGGGAAACUUACGCUAAUACCGCAUACGUCCUACGGGUGAAAGCAGGGGAUCUUCGGACCUUGCGCGAUUGAAUGAGCCGAUGUCGGAUUAGCUAGUUGGCGGGGUAAAGGCCCACCAAGGCGACGAUCCGUAGCUGGUCUGAGAGGAUGAUCAGCCACACUGGAACUGAGACACGGUCCAGACUCCUACGGGAGGCAGCAGUGGGGAAUAUUGGACAAAGGGCGCAAGCCUGAUCCAGCCAUACCGCGUGGGUGAAGAAGGCCUUCGGGUUGUAAAGCCCUUUUGUUGGGAAAGAAAAGCAGCAGGUUAAUACCCCGCUGUUCUGACGGUACCCAAAGAAUAAGCACCGGCUAACUUCGUG